This is a long non-coding RNA of Brassica rapa (field mustard), 5812 nucleotides long. RefSeq lists it as uncharacterized. The record is from RefSeq and is a predicted model, not a curated record. NCBI's taxonomy places the organism in Eukaryota, Viridiplantae, Streptophyta, Magnoliopsida, Brassicales, Brassicaceae.
UUUUGCAAAUAUUAGCAUGCUUGGAGUUCUGGUCAUAUUAUAUAUGUUUGUAGCUAGCUAAAAGAAUGUGAUGUUAACUUUUUUUAGCCGGCUAAAAAAGAUGGCUUUUUGGUAUUUUUGCCAGGAUAAGGUUUCCCUUAUAGUAUAUGAAUUUGUAGCCGGCUAAAAAUUUGCGAUGUUAUCGAUUUUAGCCUGCUAAUAAAAGGGCCAGCUAAAAAUUUCCCUUAUAGUAUAAGGUUUCCCUUAUAGUAUAUGAGUUUGUAGCCGGCUAAAAUUUUUUGGUCUCGUGUUAAUAUGGAUGAUGUAAAUAUAAUUUGUGUAGCCGGCUAACAUUAUAUAUAUGAUAUCUGGCUGGAAUUUUAUGAUUGCCUAUAUAGAAUCAGAGCAUGUAGUCCAGGACUAACAAAAUAUGUGCGAAACUAUUAAAUGGAAAGCUAAGCGGAUAAGUGGCCUGCUACUAGAGUAAUAAUGAUGCUAAAGUUAGUAAACCCAAAAGCAAGAAUGAAUUUGGACUAUGUAAUGAACAACACCAACGGCUAACCAUAACUUCUCACCACAUUGUCAUUCCCUGGUACAUGAGUGGCUUCUUCAGCAUCAAGAUCAUCAGCCAACAUUUUAACAGGGCCCUGGACAAAAACUACAAAAGUUUCCUAAACUCCUCAUCAUCACAACCAAACCCAUUUCCUUUAUUGCCUCCACCAAACCCACCUCCGCCGCUGAAAAGCCCUCCGGCAGCGGUGCUAAAGGAACAGUCCACAGAACGGAGCCGCUUCGGUACAAGUUAAGCUCUUUCUUGAGCUCAUCAGCUUCCUCUUGCCGUCGCCGCUGCUCUCCAAGCAAAGCUCCAAUCUCUUUCUCAUAAUCAUCCCCAAAUGAGGAAUCUCUAAGCAUCGGCCUUUUUCCCAGUUCAGAAAUCAUUACCUCCUAAAAAUCAAUUAUUAGAGUAUUUGUUCAUACGCUAAAUCCAUUAAAAAAAUUUAAAGAUCAGACUUUUAUACCUCAAAAUACAAUAAUACGCACAAGAAAAUGAUUUAAAGCAACAAGAAAAUGAGAAGAAUAUGGAAAUAAGAUGGGAGAUAGAAAGAAGAUCGAGAUUCGAAGAUUUUGGCAAAUGAAAAGGUUUCAAAAAUGACAAACCAUCUUGUCUGACAUAAAGAUGUCGUAAGGAAAUGGUUUACAAUAUAUAAAUAUCUAAAAGAGGGGAUUUUGAUUACAUGCAACCAGUAACUUAAUCAAAAUAUGUAUUAAGGGUAAAAUGGUCAUGAAAGUUUCGACAGAAACAUUGGAAAUGGUGAAUGUGUAUAUACCUAAUUAAGCUAAAGUGUGUGUGUAGAGUGCAAAUACUCUUUAAAAUAUAUAGUCAAAAAAUGGUCAGAAAAUAUAUCACAUUUUGACCACAUUUCCGACCAUCCAAAAUGGUCAAAAAAAGUUAUGACCAAAUUCUAACUAUUUUAUGAUGAAUAAAUAACAAAUAUGGUCAGAAAAUAGUUAGAAUUUUUUAACCAAAAAUAUAGUCAAAAAGUGGACAGAAAAUUUUGACCAUAUUCUUACCAUUUUCUAAGGAUAUAUGUAGUUUAACCUAGAUCGUAGAUCUGUGUUUCUCAUUCUUAUUUGUUCAGCUUUUUUUUUCAAGAGGCGUUAAACUUCAUUUCAAUUUAUUUUUUCUACUGAUUUUCUCUUAAUCAAAUACCUUCCCAUCCCUUUUUUAUUUCUCUGCUUUUUUAUUUUCUAUUCUGCUACUUCAUCAUCAUGACCUCUCUUUCUUUCAUUGCAUGUCAGGUGGAAAAGCUUCAGUGUUGCUGCUUUCACUAAAUCACCGUCAUUGUUCUUCUACCCCUUCCAAGCUGAGAUCCAUAUUUUGUGUUUAAAGGAGCGUUAUUUAGUGUCAUACUUUGUAAACGAGUAUAAAACCAAACUUGAUUAAUAUACCUAAAUCUGGUUACAGCAUGUUUGGUUUUUGUUUUUCGUUUUCUAGUCUCAUAUUAAUUAAUUUAGUUUUUCAAAUGUAGUAGUCCGGGAAUGAAUAUUUUUAAUCUAGUUCUAAUUUAUCUUAUCAUUUUUGUCAAGACACAACUAGGACGGAACAGUUGAUUGAGACCACGGAGUAAAACAAGACUAAGAAGAACGAAGAAAAACUAAGAAGAACAAAGGAAUUAACUAACGGAUCAUGUUUUUAAUAUAUGUAUUCUUUUGUUUUGAAACAUUGUUCUUAUGUUGCUAAUCUUAUUUUCUUAUGUCAAAUAACAUUCAUUUCAUAUUUAUUCAGUUUUCAGUAUUUUUAGUAUAUUCAUGUUAUUAUUAUAAUUAUUUAAUUUAAAUUAAUAUUUUGAUAAAUGAUUAACUAAUGGUAAAAAAAUAACAAAAAGUGGUUAGAAAUCCAUCAGUAAAUGGAUAAUUAUUUUUGACCAUUUUCUGAUGUUUGUUUUUGACGAUAUUUUUGACCUUUUAUUAUUGUCAAAAUUUUCUGACCACUUUCCGACCGUUGUCAAUUUCUGACGGAGCUUUUUUAACGAUUUUACAUGGUCAAAAUAGAGUGUUUCUAACCAUUUUCUAAUAAAAUUGGUGGUCAGAAAUUGAACUAUUUCUUGUAGUGUACGUCUGCCUUCAAAGAAGAGCCAAUUCCACGUUUUCCACAGCCUCCAUAUGAUCCAUGACCAUAGAAUGAGGAACAGAUCCACUACGAAAGAAAUGUGAAUUGCGUCCCCAAAUUAAUGAGAUAGGUAAUAGAAGGUAUACUCACCUGAGGUAAUGAAGAGAUAAGAGCCAUAUCUCCCAUUAUUUUGCGUACAAAGAUAGAGAAGGAAGACAUGAAGAUCGUCUUCAAUUCGUCCACUACGCUACACAGGAAAAUACGAAACACUCCCAUUAGCAAAUUUAGAGCUAACCCGAAUGGGGUUGAUCCAAAAAAAAAAAGAGCUAACCCGAAUGGUUUUCCUAGUUACUCUGCACAAAACGUCUUUAAGCUUGGGCAGUGCCAGUUUAACAUUUCAUAAUGCCGUAAGCCACUUCAAAAAAACUAUGUCCUUAUAUAUAUCAGUCAAAAUCAUAUGACAAAAGUAAAUAAAAUUAAGCUUUCAUAAUAUAAUCGAAUUUCACAAAAUGUUUAUAGAAAACAAAACAACAGAAUUUAUACUAUUAUUUGCAAAGUAGUUUUUCGCAUUCGAACUCUCACGUUAAAAGUUAAAGCAGUUAAAAUUGAUGAUAACCUUAACGAAUUUUUAUAUAUAAUUUACUAUAUAUAACUAAAAACUAAUUUUAGAUUAAUAAUUUUAGAUUAAUUAGUCAUAUAUAUUAAACAAUUAAUUAUGAAUUAAUAUCAUAAAUUUUCAAAAAUAAAAACAUAUUAAAAAAAUAGUUCUUAGAUAUAUUGUGUAAUUAUCUGGAAAUAAUAUUUUAUAUUAUAACAAUUUAUAAUUAUAUGUUAAUCGAGAAAAAAAUUUGUAUAAAGAAAAUUUCUAAAAUAUUUCUAAUAUGUGAAUCUUUUGAACAUUUAACACAAUAACAAGCAUAUAUAUUUUAAUGAAAACUUUUUCAUAUAUAAAUAGUUUGAUGUUUGAUUUAAACUUUUUGAGAACAUAAAUAAUAACUUAUUUUGUUAGCUUUUAAAUUAAUAAGAUAUAAACUAAUAAUUAUUUGUUAGAAAAUUAUGUCCGCAUGUGUGGCAAAACGCCUUGUUAAAAAUAUGUAUUGCUGAAACAUUGAUUUUCUUGCAUAAUUACUAUUACUAAGAUUGGUGAACAGUGAACACAACAGAAAAAACACUCGGAACAACUCAUAAAUCUUAAUAUAUCAGCGCUGGCUCUGAGAUUUUGGAGAAUUUAUGCGACUUAAUAAAUAAACUGUUUUAAAUAAAUUUAGGGUUUUUUUAUAAAUUUGGUGGUCUAUGUCUAUGCAAUUUUCUUCAAAAGAAUUGGGAGCGCUAGACAAAUGUUUCAUUCGGAUUUUUCUAGAACCGGCUAUGAAUAUAUGAUACUAUUCUCAUCACAAUUUUCUAGUUUAUAAAAAUUUGGAAACUAAUAAAAUGGUCACGUUACUCACGUACCUUGUCAAUACGAAAACAAUGAUCAAAGAACUGAAUCAAUAGAAAUAUAAACUAAAAGUGUAGCAAUAGCAAAAUAAAAAACGGGAAAUUUGGGGCACGGCGGAAGAGAAAGAGGCAACAAGAAAAACUGCUUUGUGUGUCCCUUUAAUCCAGUGGUUUAACUAAAUGUUCAUUAGUGUUUUUAUAAGGUUCAAGUUUCAAUUCCCAGAGAAAACAGUUUAUUAAACAAUUAUGCAGGCUACGGAGGAAAGACUUACAAGGAAUCUUCAAUAUAGUGCAAGUAAACCCGGUCAUGCGUGGAUCUUUAUAGGGCGGCUCAGGUGAUACAGCUAGACGAGAUCUUCAUAAAGCAGGUAGUAUUGUCGCUUGUCGAAUCAUCUAUGUAAUAUUUCUCAUAAUUAUAAUAUCAUAAUAAAUCAGCGUUAAAAAAACUUCUUUGUAGUUAUCUUUUAAUUAGGGUUUUAUUUUUAUUUUAAAAUAGAAAUUUACUAAUAACUAUUUAAUAAUAUAUUAUAACAACUAUAUUUGUUAUAAAAAGUUUAUAAAUAUUGUUAGAAGGUCCAGAAAAUGUUAUUCUAAUUAAAAAGUGCCCACAAGUAUUAUUGUAGCUAAAAAAACUUACAAACUUUAAUUAUUUAUAAACAGCAACAAAAAGAAAAAUCCUAAAACAUGCCCUCUAAAUCUAAUGCACUAAGACCCUGCUUUGUUCGCUUAUGCUGUAGGCUGGCCCUGAGCUUGGGAGAGGUCUUGACCUACCAAGCACUUUCAUGCCAAUCAAGUCUCAAAUGGCCGAUCUGCAGAGUCAUUAUUUGAGAGCCUAGCCAAAUUAUAUCCUGAUUUAGUAAUGUACUCACCCGAAAGAUCCCUUCAUAGCCAAAUACCUCGAUCCAAAUGUGAGACAGAGCUAGUAAGAAUGCCUCUCACUUAUCCCUCGUACUGAGGUAUAUCCCUCAUACGUGUCUCUUUAGAUUAUUUAUUUUCAUAUAUCUUAUAAUUGUUGUUUUCUAAAUAUCUAUCUUCCAACAAAACUCAUAUUAGUUCAUCUUAAAUUUUAUAUGUUAUAUGAAAGCUAUAACUUUAAUGAUGAAUCAGAUUAAAGAUUUAUGAGAAUUCAUCAUGUAGUUUGCUUAAGUGACGAUAAUUUUUUAAAAGAAUCUUAUAAAUUACCCCAUGGUAGAUUUGUUUCAUUAUAGCCUAUUGAUUACUUUCUGUGAAUUUUUGGAUUGUAACCGACUAAAAACUUGUGUCAAAACAUAAGAUAAUAAUAUUGAUUAAUAUUUUUUAUGAGUAAAUGAAUAUGUUAAUUUCUUUUGAUUGAUUUAGAAACAAUUUAGAAUUCAUAAAUAAUUUUUUUAACAAUAUGUAUUUUACACAAGUGGCUUACUAUACCAGUAUUUUUAAAUAAAACUUUUAUAAACUAUUUGGUAGAAAUCAACGAACUAAAAUAAAAAUAAUAUUUUAUGUUUGCUUUGGAAACUUUGGUAACUUAUUUAUAUUCAGAUCAUUUUUGUAGCCUAUACCAUUGUUCAAGAAAAAAAUUCAUUUCAUGUUAAUUUUCUUUUAAUUUGUAUUAGUUUAGAAAUUUAUAUUAAUUAUAUAUUUUAUUUUGAUAAGUUGGAGUAUAUUGUGCGCUAAAUAUUAUAGCAUAUAGAGACAAAAUAGCAAGAGAUGUAUUGGAACCAUCUAAAAUUAAUUAACAUAUAUUAAUAAACAAAAUUAAUUAAUAUAACUAAAUAUCUAUAUGUAUGGGCAGAUGAGGUCAGAGUAAUA